GCCGGAGUGGCGGAAUUGGCUUACGCGCGCGACUCAAAAUCGUGUGAGGCAACCCCUCGUGUGGGUUCGAGUCCCACCUCCGGCACCA
RNAcentral lists this transfer RNA (88 nucleotides) under Candidatus Omnitrophota bacterium. RNAcentral describes it as "tRNA-Leu". It matches the Rfam family "tRNA". Rfam says of the family: Transfer RNA (tRNA) molecules are approximately 80 nucleotides in length. Their secondary structure includes four short double-helical elements and three loops (D, anti-codon, and T loops). Further hydrogen bonds mediate the characteristic L-shaped molecular structure. tRNAs have two regions of fundamental functional importance: the anti-codon, which is responsible for specific mRNA codon recognition, and the 3' end, to which the tRNAs corresponding amino acid is attached (by aminoacyl-tRNA synthetases). tRNAs cope with the degeneracy of the genetic code in two manners: having more than one tRNA (with a specific anti-codon) for a particular amino acid; and 'wobble' base-pairing, i.e. permitting non-standard base-pairing at the 3rd anti-codon position. The record is from RNAcentral. Lineage: Bacteria; Pseudomonadati; Candidatus Omnitrophota.